CCGGCACGGUGAGUAACACGUAUCCAACCUGCCGUCUACUCUUGGACAGCCUUCUGAAAGGAAGAUUAAUACAAGAUGGCAUCAUGAGUCCGCAUGUUCACAUGAUUAAAGGUAUUCCGGUAGACGAUGGGGAUGCGUUCCAUUAGAUAGUAGGCGGGGUAACGGCCCACCUAGUCUUCGAUGGAUAGGGGUUCUGAGAGGAAGGUCCCCCACAUUGGAACUGGGGCACGGUCCAA
RNAcentral lists this ribosomal RNA (236 nucleotides) under uncultured bacterium. Its description in RNAcentral is "partial 16S ribosomal RNA". It matches the Rfam family "Bacterial small subunit ribosomal RNA", at positions 105 to 334 of the family's 1533-position model. The record is from RNAcentral.